UCUCCGUAGGUGAACCUGCGGAGGGAUCAUUACAGAGUUCAUGCCCUACCGGGUAGAUCUCCCACCCUAUGUUAUUAUUACUUUGUUGCUUUGGCGGGCCGUUAGGCUCCGGCCCGACUACCGGCCCCGGCUGGUAAGCGCCCGCCAGAGGACCCAAAACCCUGAAAAUUAGUGUCGUCUGAGUUCUAUAUAAUAGUUAAAACUUUCAACAACGGAUCUCUUGGUUCUG
RNAcentral lists this unclassified non-coding RNA (229 nucleotides) under plant metagenome. Its description in RNAcentral is "partial contains small subunit ribosomal RNA, internal transcribed spacer 1, and 5.8S ribosomal RNA". The record is from RNAcentral.